GUGCACCAGUCGAGAAACCUCCGCAAUGCACGCAAGUGCGACGGGGGAACCCCAAGUGCCACUCUUAACGGGGUGGCUUUUCAGAAGUGUAAAAAGCUUCUGGAAUAAGGGCUGGGCAAGACCGGUGCCAGCCGCCGCGGUAACACCGGCAGCUCAAGUGGUAGCCGCUUUUAUUGGGCCUAAAGCGUCCGUAGCCGGUCUGAUAAGUCUCUGGUGAAAUCCCACAGCUUAACUGUGGGAAUUGCUGGAGAUACUAUCAUGACUCGAGGUCGGGAGAGGCUGGAGGUACUCCCAGGGUAGGGGUGAAAUCCUGUAAUCCUGGGAGGACCACCUGUGGCGAAGGCGUCCAGCUGGAACGAACCUGACGGUGAGGGACGAAAGCCAGGGGCGCGAACCGGAUUAGAUACCCACGUAGUCC
Molecule: ribosomal RNA, 418 nt
Filed under: uncultured Methanothermobacter sp.
Lineage: Archaea; Methanobacteriati; Methanobacteriota; Methanobacteria; Methanobacteriales; Methanobacteriaceae
Description: bacterial SSU rRNA
Rfam family: Archaeal small subunit ribosomal RNA
Source: RNAcentral